RNAcentral lists this ribosomal RNA (230 nucleotides) under uncultured bacterium. RNAcentral's name for it is "partial 16S ribosomal RNA". It matches the Rfam family "Bacterial small subunit ribosomal RNA", at positions 15 to 235 of the family's 1533-position model. The record is from RNAcentral.
GAUCCUGGCUCAGGAUGAACGCUAGCUACAGGCUUAACACAUGCAAGUCGCGGGGCAGCAUGAAGGAUGCUUGCAUCCUUUGAUGGCGACCGGCGCACGGGUGAGUAACGCGUAUCCAACCUGCCUGUUACCACGGCACAGCCCGUCGAAAGGCGGAUUAAUGCCGUAUGUGGUCUUGAAAGGGCAUCUGAUCAUGACUAAAGGUUCAGCGGUAACGGAUGGGGAUGCCG